AUUUUUAGUUUCUGUUUUAUUUCCAAAUAAGGAAAAGG
Molecule: non-coding RNA, 38 nt
Filed under: Plasmodium falciparum 3D7
Lineage: Eukaryota; Apicomplexa; Aconoidasida; Haemosporida; Plasmodiidae
Source: RNAcentral